GCGGUGGUGGCGGAACCGGUAGACGCGCCAGGUCGAGAGCCUGGUGGCCCUCGAGGGCCAUGGGAGUUCGAGCCUCCCCCGCCGCA
Molecule: transfer RNA, 86 nt
Filed under: Actinomycetes bacterium
Lineage: Bacteria; Bacillati; Actinomycetota; Actinomycetes
Description: Actinobacteria bacterium tRNA-OTHER
Rfam family: tRNA
About the family: Transfer RNA (tRNA) molecules are approximately 80 nucleotides in length. Their secondary structure includes four short double-helical elements and three loops (D, anti-codon, and T loops). Further hydrogen bonds mediate the characteristic L-shaped molecular structure. tRNAs have two regions of fundamental functional importance: the anti-codon, which is responsible for specific mRNA codon recognition, and the 3' end, to which the tRNAs corresponding amino acid is attached (by aminoacyl-tRNA synthetases). tRNAs cope with the degeneracy of the genetic code in two manners: having more than one tRNA (with a specific anti-codon) for a particular amino acid; and 'wobble' base-pairing, i.e. permitting non-standard base-pairing at the 3rd anti-codon position.
Source: RNAcentral